RNAcentral lists this long non-coding RNA (275 nucleotides) under Pelobates cultripes (western spadefoot toad). Lineage: Eukaryota; Metazoa; Chordata; Amphibia; Anura; Pelobatidae. The record is from RNAcentral.
AGCGGUGGGAUGGCGUCCUAGUGCGAGGUAAAGCAGCUCAGAGACACAGUUCGUGGAUUUACAAAUUGAAGGUGACGCUAGUGUUCAUACAGCGUCCCUGUCUACAUAAAGAUUUGGGAAAACCAGCACUACUUCAGAGAUGGAAGGCCGUGCAGUAUCUCACUUUGACGCCAGGCUCCAGCAGCGACUACAGGAUGUGAUGCGCAAUAUGGAGUAUCCUAUCCCAGAGGAAAGAGAGACAGAGUGGAGGGUGGCGCUUCGUACCGAUCUCUGGA